This 493-nucleotide long non-coding RNA is filed under the name Marmota monax (woodchuck). Lineage: Eukaryota; Metazoa; Chordata; Mammalia; Rodentia; Sciuridae. The record is from RNAcentral.
UUGCAAUCUUCCUGCCUCAGCCUCUCAAGCUGCCGAGAUAAUAGACAUGUGUCAGCAUGCCCAGCCUGGCUGAAUAUUUCUCUAGCAGGAGUUGGGUAGGCAAGCAGUUUAAGUCAAAUGAGCAGCUUGGGGCUGAAAUGAGGCAAGUACAAAGACUUCAGGGAACCGUGAAGCAUGCUGCAAAUAUCAUGGUCAAUACUAACCUCUGAGUGCUGGAGAGGUGCACAGCUAACUUCCAAUAAACCCCAAGAGGCUAUGGGAUCAGUCAUUACUCCAAUCCAACUCAUAGGCAGAUGCCUUUGUUACAGGGCGUAAUAAUCAAGAAAUAGCUGCCAAGAGCAUUCCUGACAUGUUCAUUGAGCUUCACGUAGCAGAAACCACUAAACGGGUCCCAUCAUCCCUAUCCCCUUCACCUUUUAGUCACAGAACCCUCUGAGCUGUAACUGGGCUAUGACUGCCCAGAUAAAAGGCUCUAUAUCCUAGCAGCCCUUUU